This 305-nucleotide ribosomal RNA is filed under the name uncultured bacterium. RNAcentral's name for it is "bacterial SSU rRNA". It matches the Rfam family "Bacterial small subunit ribosomal RNA", at positions 333 to 637 of the family's 1533-position model. The record is from RNAcentral.
UUAGCCUACGGGACGCAGCAGUGAGGAAUAUUGGUCAAUGGGCGAGAGCCUGAACCAGCCAAGUCGCGUGAGGGAAGACGGUCCUAUGGAUUGUAAACCUCUUUUGCCGGGGAGCAAAAAGCGGUACGUGUACCGCAUCGAGAGUACCCGGAGAAGAAGCAUCGGCUAACUCCGUGCCAGCAGCCGCGGUAAUACGGAGGAUGCGAGCGUAAUCAGGAUUUAUUGGGUUUAAAGGGUGCGCAGGCGGCGAGUUAAGUCAGCGGUAAAAUUUCGGGACUCAACCCCGACGAGCCGUUGAAACUGGG